UUGAGCGGAGAUUAUGGAGCUUGCUUUAUAUAACUUAGCAGCGAACGGGUGAGUAACACGUAGAUAAUCUAUCCUAUACUGGGGGAUAGCCCGAUGAAAGUUGGAUUAAUACCGCAUAUAGCUAUAUAGUUGCAUGAUUAUGUAGUGAAAGAUUUAUUGGUAUAGGAGGAGUCUGCGGCACAUUAGCUAGUAGGUGAGGUAAAGGCUUACCUAGGCGACGAUGUGUAGCCGGUCUGAGAGGAUGAACGGCCACAAUGGAACUGAGACACGGUCCAUACUCCUACGGGAGGCAGCAGUGGGGAAUAUUGCACAAUGGGGGAAACCCUGAUGCAGCAACGCCGCGUGAGUGAAGAAGGUUUUCGGAUUGUAAAGCUCUGUUAGCAGGGAAGAGGAAGGACGGUACCUGCAGAGGAAGCCACGGCUAACUACGUGCCAGCAGCCGCGGUAAUACGUAGGUGGCAAGCGUUGUUCGGAAUAACUGGGCGUAAAGGAUGCGUAGGCGGUUAAACAAGUUAUAUGUUAAAUAUAUAGGCUUAACCUGUAGAAAGCAUAUAAAACUGUUUAACUAGAGUGCAGGAGAGGUAAGUGGAAUUCCUAGUGUAGCGGUGAAAUGCGUAGAGAUUAGGAAGAACACCAGUGGCGAAGGCGACUUACUGGACUGUAACUGACGCUGAGGCAUGAGAGCAUGGGGAGCAAACAGGAUUAGAUACCCUGGUAGUCCAUGCUGUAAACGAUGGGUACUAGGUGUGGGUUGUGAAUAACAAUUCGUGCCG
RNAcentral lists this ribosomal RNA (773 nucleotides) under uncultured bacterium. RNAcentral's name for it is "bacterial SSU rRNA". It matches the Rfam family "Bacterial small subunit ribosomal RNA", at positions 62 to 848 of the family's 1533-position model. The record is from RNAcentral.